AAUCUUAAGAAUACGGGGUCAUAGAUGAUCAUAAAGGCCUAUGGUUAAGAUUAGUGAUCUCUAUUGCACUUGGGAGAAGUGUUAGCUUAAGCUCUUCUUAAAUAAGGAAAGAUUACGCGACAUUCUUGGAUAAUGCAGGUGUGCGUUCGCACUGUCCCUUA
Molecule: small nuclear RNA, 161 nt
Organism: Abrus precatorius (Indian licorice)
Lineage: Eukaryota; Viridiplantae; Streptophyta; Magnoliopsida; Fabales; Fabaceae
Product: U1 spliceosomal RNA
Exons: 1
Source: RefSeq, a predicted model, not a curated record